UACGUAGGGUGCGAGCGUUGUCCGGAAUUAUUGGGCGUAAAGGGCUCGUAGGCGGUUUGUCGCGUCGGGAGUGAAAACACCGGGCUUAACUCGGUGCUUGCUUUCGAUACGGGCAGACUAGAGGUAUGCAGGGGAGAACGGAAUUCCUGGUGUAGCGGUGAAAUGCGCAGAUAUCAGGAGGAACACCGGUGGCGAAGGCGGUUCUCUGGGCCGUAACUGACGCUGAGGAGCGAAAGCGUGGGGAGCGAACAGG
RNAcentral lists this ribosomal RNA (253 nucleotides) under uncultured bacterium. Its description in RNAcentral is "partial 16S ribosomal RNA". It matches the Rfam family "Bacterial small subunit ribosomal RNA", at positions 524 to 776 of the family's 1533-position model. The record is from RNAcentral.